GGAAUCGUACCCGAAACCGACACAGGUGGUCAGGUCGAGUAGACCAAGGCGCUUGAGAGAACUCUGCUGAAGGAACUAGGCAAAAUGGUACCGUAACUUCGGGAGAAGGUACGCUGUUGUUGGUGAUGGAACUCGCUUCCUGAGCUGACGACAGCCGCAGAAACCAGGCCGCUGCAACUGUUUAUUAAAAACAUAGCACUCUGCAAACACGAAAGUGGACGUAUAGGGUGUGAUGCCUGCCCGGUGCUGGAAGGUUAAUUGAUGGGGUUAGCGUAAGCGAAGCUCUUGAUCGAAGCCCCAGUAAACGGCGGCCGUAACUAUAACGGUCCUAAGGUAGCGAAAUUCCUUGUCGGGUAAGUUCCGACCUGCACGAAUGGCAUAAUGAUGGCGGCGCUGUCUCCAGCAGAGGCUCAGUGAAAUCGAAAUCGCUGUGAAGAUGCAGUGUACCCGCGGCUAGACGGAAAGACCCCGUGAACCUUUACUGCAGCUUGACACUGAACUUUGACCUUACUUGUGUAGGAUAGGUGGGAGGCUUUGAAGCUGGAACGCUAGUUCCAGUGGAGCCGUCCUUGAAAUACCACCCUGGUAAUGUUGAGGUUCUAACUCUGUCCCGUGAUCCGGGACGAGGACCGUGUCUGGUGGGUAGUUUGACUGGGGCGGUCUCCUCCUAAAGAGUAACGGAGGAGUACGAAGGUGCGCUCAGCGUGGUCGGAAAUCACGCGUAGAGUAUAAAGGCAAAAGCGCGCUUAACUGCGAGACCCACAAGUCGAGCAGGUACGAAAGUAGGUCUUAGUGAUCCGGUGGUUCUGUAUGGAAGGGCCAUCGCUCAACGGAUAAAAGGUACUCUGGGGAUAACAGGCUGAUACCGCCCAAGAGUUCAUAUCGACGGCGGUGUUUGGCACCUCGAUGUCGGCUCAUCUCAUCCUGGGGCUGAAGCAGGUCCCAAGGGUAUGGCUGUUCGCCAUUUAAAGAGGUACGCGAGCUGGGUUUAGAACGUCGUGAGACAGUUCGGUCCCUAUCUACCGUGGGCGCUGGAAAUUUGAGAGGAUCUGCUCCUAGUACGAGAGGACCAGAGUGGACGAACCUCUGGUGUACCGGUUGUGACGCCAGUCGCAUCGCCGGGUAGCUAUGUUCGGAAGGGAUAACCGCUGAAAGCAUCUAAGCGGGAAGCCUACCUCAAGAUAAGAUUUCCCUAGGACUUUAUGUCCUCUAAAGAGCCGUUCGAGACUAGGACGUUGAUAGGUUGGAUGUGGAAGCAUAGUGAUAUGUGAAGCUGACCAAUACUAAUUGCUCGUGAGGCUUGACUA
Molecule: ribosomal RNA, 1307 nt
Filed under: Acinetobacter baumannii 96512
Lineage: Bacteria; Pseudomonadati; Pseudomonadota; Gammaproteobacteria; Moraxellales; Moraxellaceae
Description: bacterial LSU rRNA
Rfam family: Bacterial large subunit ribosomal RNA
Source: RNAcentral